GACCGUUUAGCUCAGCUGGUCAGAGCGUGGCGCUAGUAAUGCUGAGGUCAUGGGUUUGAUCCCCAAUAUGGUCA
This 74-nucleotide transfer RNA is filed under the name Poecilia formosa (Amazon molly). It matches the Rfam family "tRNA". From Rfam's summary of the family: Transfer RNA (tRNA) molecules are approximately 80 nucleotides in length. The record is from Rfam by way of RNAcentral. Lineage: Eukaryota; Metazoa; Chordata; Actinopteri; Cyprinodontiformes; Poeciliidae.